GAUGAAGAACGUAGCGAAAUGCGAUAAGUAAUGUGAAUUGCAGAAUUCAGUGAAUCAUCGAAUCUUUGAACGCACAUUGCGCCCCUUGGUAUUCCGAGGGGCAUGCCUGUUCGAGCGUCAUUAUAACCCCUCAAGCUCAGCUUGGGGUUGGGGCCUGCUGCACUGGCAGCCCUUAAAAUCAGUGGCGGCGCCAUCUGGCUCUAAGCGUAGUAAUUCUUCUCGCUAUGGAGUCCUGGUGGAUGCUUGCCAUCAACCCCCAAUUUUUCUAUGGUUGACCUCGGAUCAGGUAGGGAUACCCGCUGAACUUAAGCAUAUCAAUAAGCGGAGGA
Molecule: unclassified non-coding RNA, 329 nt
Filed under: soil metagenome
Description: partial contains 5.8S ribosomal RNA, internal transcribed spacer 2, and large subunit ribosomal RNA
Rfam family: 5.8S ribosomal RNA (bases 1-120)
Source: RNAcentral